Molecule: small nuclear RNA, 168 nt
Filed under: Pelusios castaneus (West African mud turtle)
Lineage: Eukaryota; Metazoa; Chordata; Testudines; Pelomedusidae
Description: U1 spliceosomal RNA (ENSPCEG00000008975.1)
Rfam family: U1 spliceosomal RNA
About the family: U1 is a small nuclear RNA (snRNA) component of the spliceosome (involved in pre-mRNA splicing). Its 5' end forms complementary base pairs with the 5' splice junction, thus defining the 5' donor site of an intron.
Source: RNAcentral
UCUCUUUCACCACAAAAGAUACCAUCAUCAUGAUCAUGAAGGUGGUUUUCCCAAGGUGAGGCUCAUCCAUUGUACCCUGGGUGUGCUGACCCCUGCAAUUUCCUCAAAUGUGGGAAACUCAACUGAUUAAUUUGUGGUAGUGGGGAACUGUGUAUGCCCUUUCCCCUG